RNAcentral lists this ribosomal RNA (433 nucleotides) under uncultured bacterium. RNAcentral's name for it is "partial 16S ribosomal RNA". It matches the Rfam family "Bacterial small subunit ribosomal RNA", at positions 29 to 507 of the family's 1533-position model. The record is from RNAcentral.
AACGAACGCUGGCGGCAUGCCUAACACAUGCAAGUCGAACGAGACCGUCGGGUCUAGUGGCGCACGGGUGCGUAACGCGUGGGAACCUGCCCUUAGGUUCGGAAUAACUCCCCGAAAGGGGUGCUAAUACCGGAUAAUGUCUUCGGACCAAAGAUUUAUCGCCUUUGGAUGGGCCCGCGUUGGAUUAGCUAGUUGGUAGGGUAAAAGCCUACCAAGGCGACGCUCCAUAGCUGGUCUGAGAGGAUGAUCAGCCACACUGGGACUGAGACACGGCCCAGACUCCUACGGGAGGCAGCAGUGGCGGAUAUUGGACACUGGGCGGCAGCCUGAUCCAGCUCUGCCGCGUGAGUGAUGAAGGCCUUAGGGUUGUACAGCUCUUUUACCCGGGAUGAUAAUGACAGUACCGGGAGAAUAAGCUCCGGCUAACUCCGUG